AGAGUUUGAUCAUGGCUCAGGACGAACGCUGGCGGCGUGCUUAACACAUGCAAGUCGAACGGAAAGGCCCUUCGGGGUACUCGAGUGGCGAACGGGUGAGUAACACGUGGGUGAUCUGCCCUGCACUUUGGGAUAAGCCUGGGAAACUGGGUCUAAUACCGAAUAGGACCACGCGCUUCAUGGUGUGUGGUGGAAAGCUUUUGCGGUGUGGGAUGGGCCCGCGGCCUAUCAGCUUGUUGGUGGGGUAAUGGCCUACCAAGGCGACGACGGGUAGCCGGCCUGAGAGGGUGACCGGCCACACUGGGACUGAGAUACGGCCCAGACUCCUACGGGAGGCAGCAGUGGGGAAUAUUGCACAAUGGGCGCAAGCCUGAUGCAGCGACGCCGCGUGAGGGAUGACGGCCUUCGGGUUGUAAACCUCUUUCAAUAGGGACGAAGCGCAAGUGACGGUACCUAUAGAAGAAGCACCGGCCAACUACGUGCCAGCAGCCGCGGUAAUACGUAGGGUGCGAGCGUUGUCCGGAAUUACUGGGCAUAAAGAGCUCGUAGGUGGUUUGUCGCGUUGUUCGUGAAAACUCACAGCUUAACUGUGGGCGUGCGGGCGAUACGGGCAGACUAGAGUACUGCAGGGGAGACUGGAAUUCCUGGUGUAGCGGUGGAAUGCGCAGAUAUCAGGAGGAACACCGGUGGCGAAGGCGGGUCUCUGGGCAGUAACUGACGCUGAGGAGCGAAAGCGUGGGGAGCGAACAGGAUUAGAUACCCUGGUAGUCCAA
This 773-nucleotide ribosomal RNA is filed under the name uncultured bacterium. Its description in RNAcentral is "bacterial SSU rRNA". It matches the Rfam family "Bacterial small subunit ribosomal RNA", at positions 8 to 798 of the family's 1533-position model. The record is from RNAcentral.